AGACUGGUGAAAGCUUCUGUGA
RNAcentral lists this non-coding RNA (22 nucleotides) under Arabidopsis thaliana (thale cress). The record is from RNAcentral. Lineage: Eukaryota; Viridiplantae; Streptophyta; Magnoliopsida; Brassicales; Brassicaceae.